This 656-nucleotide long non-coding RNA is filed under the name Mytilus galloprovincialis (Mediterranean mussel). Lineage: Eukaryota; Metazoa; Mollusca; Bivalvia; Mytilida; Mytilidae. The record is from RNAcentral.
CCAAAAUUCAAACUUGAUCUGUAUUUCGUGGUUUGCAUUUAAGUUUCAUAACAAUUCAUUGGGGCAAACUAAAGAUAGAGAACAGAAACGAAAAAUUCAGCAAAUUUUUCCAUUUAUAAAGGGGCAUAACCCUAGAAUGGUUAAAGUGAUGCCACUAAACUUGAUCUGUGUUUUUUGGUAAUAAGUAUUGUGUAUAUGAGUUUUAUAUCAUUUGGUUGAGGCAAACUCAAGUUAUAGAGCGGAAACCAAUUUUGGAACGUUAGAACGUACGUACAUACAAUGGACAAGGGUAAAACUUAAUGCCCCCUCCGUUACAGUCAGGGUAUAAUAAUAAGAAUAAGGAUUGAGACAGAUCCAGUACUGUAAAAAGGAUAAAAUUUGAGUUAUCUUUCUUGGAAUGAAAUCUCAUAUUUGAAAGAUCCCCUACUGGCAGAGGCUUAAACUCUGUAGACAUGAAAACAAGAUGAUGUCAUUGUAACAAGAACUAGAUGAUAUAACAAAAGAAUUGAUGGACAAAAGAAACACAUCUGAUUUUUAAAUUUUCAACAGAUUUCAAAUUAAAUGGCAUUUUCUAAUACACCUUAUUGCUAUUUGUCCACCAUAACUGGACAUUACAAAGGUCUUUUUAAAAUUUUGACAUCAUAAUACAAAAUUUG